RNAcentral lists this transfer RNA (70 nucleotides) under Clostridioides difficile Y165. Its description in RNAcentral is "tRNA-Gly". It matches the Rfam family "tRNA". Rfam says of the family: Transfer RNA (tRNA) molecules are approximately 80 nucleotides in length. The record is from RNAcentral. Lineage: Bacteria; Bacillati; Bacillota; Clostridia; Peptostreptococcales; Peptostreptococcaceae.
CGGGUGUAGCUCAAUGGUAGAGUUCUGGCCUUCCAAGCCAGCUGUGAGGGUUCGAUCCCCUUCACCUCGA